RNAcentral lists this ribosomal RNA (376 nucleotides) under uncultured organism. Its description in RNAcentral is "partial 16S ribosomal RNA". It matches the Rfam family "Bacterial small subunit ribosomal RNA", at positions 527 to 897 of the family's 1533-position model. The record is from RNAcentral.
GUAGGUGGCAAGCGUUGUCCGGGAAUUAUUGGGGCGUAAAGCGCGCGCAGGCGGUUCUUUAAGUCUGAUGUGAAAGCCCACGGGCUCAACCGUGGAGGGUCAUUGGAAACUGGAGAACUUGAGUACAGAAGAGGAAAGCGGAAUUCCACGUGUAGCGGUGAAAUGCGUAGUGAUGUGGAGGAACACCAGUGGCGAAGGCGGCUUUCUGGUCUGUAACUGACGCUGAGGCGCGAAAGCGUGGGGAGCAAACAGGAUUAGAUACCCUGGUAGUCCACGCCGUAAACGAUGAGUGCUAAGUGUUAGGGGGUUUCCACCCCUUAGUGCUGCAGCUAACGCAUUAAGCACUCCGCCUGGGGAGUACGGCCGCAAAGGCUGA